Dermacentor silvarum is the source of this 491-nucleotide long non-coding RNA. RefSeq lists it as uncharacterized. The record is from RefSeq and is a predicted model, not a curated record. NCBI's taxonomy places the organism in Eukaryota, Metazoa, Arthropoda, Arachnida, Ixodida, Ixodidae. The transcript is spliced from 2 exons.
CAUCGAAAAAAAAGAAAAUGAACUUGAGUUAACAGGCAUUGAUUUAUUUUUAAAAUUCUUUGCCGCGAAAACUAAAACGUUUUGCGUAUAAAUGAACUUAAGCUUUGCGACUUAUUUUCCUUGCCUUACCUAGCCACAGGUCGAUGACGCGCCAGUUACAUGCGUCAUCCGCCAGACACUCCCCCGAAGCCAGCGAGGAUGGCUGCGCGCGCGUUUGAGCGCUCGCGCGCGGCGACGCGUCUGUCUCAUUCUUUUUUUUCUUUUUUAAAUGUAACCUGGUUUAUUGGGCUCUCGGCGUAUUCUUGCGUUCAUUCUGCACUGGGACAAGACACCACUGCACUAUUGGACUACGGCAAGCUGGUACCGUCCGGUGGAGCUUCAUACAGAAACUACUGCCUUACCUGCUGGUGUCACAACGUUGUAUGAACGCACAAAAAGCGCGGAACGAGCUUUUAUAUAGAGCAAAAUAAAUAUUUCCUCAUUGCACAAAA